Molecule: transfer RNA, 66 nt
Filed under: Allobates flaviventris
Lineage: Eukaryota; Metazoa; Chordata; Amphibia; Anura; Aromobatidae
Description: tRNA-Arg
Rfam family: tRNA
About the family: Transfer RNA (tRNA) molecules are approximately 80 nucleotides in length. Their secondary structure includes four short double-helical elements and three loops (D, anti-codon, and T loops).
Source: RNAcentral
GAAACAUUAGUCUAAAAAGACAGCUGAUUUCGACUCAGCAGAUUAUGUUCAACCCCAUAAUGUUUC